UGGUAAUCUGCAAUCAGCGGGAGCAGUGCAGGAGCAGGUGGGAGCAGCCCAAUCAGCCACUCCAGCUCCUCUACAUAACCUGACGCCACUCGUCUCUGGACCGUGAACGUUCUCCAACCAGCUCCUACCUCCCCGGAAUCCUGGUUUCCGCCAUCUAGAAUUCUUCUAGACAAUCCAGACUGGGCCAUUCUGGAUCAGCUUGGUCUCCCUCUGUUCUCACUCCUGUCCAAACUGGUUCACUUCCUCCUGCCUCUCCAUUGCCAGAACCCAGCUUCCGCCACACCGUCUCCGACGCCAGCUGCCGGCUACGCCCACGCCAGCCACAAACAGCGGCAGCCGCCAUUCCACCGUGGAACGCCAGCCACUCCAUCAAUCUGCUGGUUCAACCAAACAUCUCCGUGUCUCCGUCCCAUGAUGAAGUCCAGCAGCAGAAGGUUAAGGUCCUCAUGGGCUCCAACUUCAGCAUCAUCUGCUCCACCAGGCCUCAGUAUCCAGGAGGUUCCUUCCAGCUCGUCUUCACCUCCUCCAGCACAACGUUCAACUACGUCCUUCCAACUGUCACACAUUGGGCCGUUUUCCUGUUUCCUGCUGCAGAAGACCUCCACAGAGGGACGUACACCUGUAUUUACCACCUCAACGUUUUCUCCUAUAACUUCUCCUCCACCAGCCAGUCCAUCUAUCUCAUCCCCUCAGCUCCUCUAAUGGAUUUGAUCAUCAGACUUGUCGUCCACCUGCUGGUGAUGGUUCUUCUC
Amphiprion ocellaris (clown anemonefish) is the source of this 752-nucleotide long non-coding RNA. The record is from Ensembl. NCBI's taxonomy places the organism in Eukaryota, Metazoa, Chordata, Actinopteri, Pomacentridae.